CAGCCGCCGCGGGAAUACGAAGGGGGCGAGCGUUGCUCGGAAUGACUGGGCGUAAAGGGCGCGUAGGCGGUUUGCACAGUCAGAUGUGAAAUUCCUGGGCUUAACCUGGGGGCUGCAUUUGACACGUGUGGACUAGAGUGGGGAAGAGGGUCGUGGAAUUCCCAGUGUAGAGGUGAAAUUCGUAGAUAUUGGGAAGAACACCGGUGGCGAAGGCGGCGACCUGGUCCUUGACUGACGCUGAGGCGCGAAAGCGUGGGGAGCAAACAGGAUUAGAUACCCCCGUAGUCCCUGUCUCUUAUAU
RNAcentral lists this ribosomal RNA (301 nucleotides) under uncultured bacterium. RNAcentral describes it as "partial 16S ribosomal RNA". It matches the Rfam family "Bacterial small subunit ribosomal RNA", at positions 509 to 809 of the family's 1533-position model. The record is from RNAcentral.